UUGUAUUACAACCUCUAAAACAUCCAGCGUAGUACAGUUUUUACGUUGUUUUCAACAUUUUGAGACUAUAUAAGCUACGCCCCAAUAGUUGGUCUUCACUCGACGUUUUAACGCAGAGUCCUUCUAUAACAAGUAACUGAAGUAUCCGAGAUGGAAUCAGUUCGCCAGUUUCUCUACCAGGCUGCAACAUUGGCUAUGGUAGCCAUGCUCCAGAUGGCGUUUGCUCAAUACCAGCCCGAUCAAAACGGCGAAUUCUUAUACGGCAAUUACAGAUACCUCAACGGAUACCGUUACUAAGAUUCAACGAUUGUUUUUGGGCCAGUGAUGUAUGAACGUACGGCAAUGGAAACUAGUCAGCAAAAAGAAAAUAGCUUGUCAACAUCGUAUUUAUAGUAACAGUGUUGGUGGCCAAAACAUUUGUUGCAUAUUAAUUAUUCAGAGGUCAAUAAAUAAUCGUUGUUUCUAUUA
Molecule: long non-coding RNA, 468 nt
Organism: Saccostrea echinata
Lineage: Eukaryota; Metazoa; Mollusca; Bivalvia; Ostreida; Ostreidae
Exons: 2
Source: RefSeq, a predicted model, not a curated record